GACGAACCGUGCGACCGUUAUUCGGAAUCACUGGGCUUAAAGCGCGUGUAGGCGGGCCGGCACGUCCGUCGCUGAAAUCCCCCGGCUCAACCGGGGAACGGGCGCGGAUACGACCGUCCUUGAGGGGCGUAGGGGGACCUGGAACUUCCGGUGGAGCGGUGAAAUGCGUUGAGAUCGGAAGGAACGCCCGUGGCGAAAGCGAGGUCCUGGACGCCUACUGACGCUGAGACGCGAAAGCCAGGGGAGCGAACGGG
RNAcentral lists this ribosomal RNA (254 nucleotides) under uncultured bacterium. Its description in RNAcentral is "partial 16S ribosomal RNA". It matches the Rfam family "Bacterial small subunit ribosomal RNA", at positions 524 to 776 of the family's 1533-position model. The record is from RNAcentral.